This 608-nucleotide ribosomal RNA is filed under the name uncultured bacterium. Its description in RNAcentral is "partial 16S ribosomal RNA". It matches the Rfam family "Bacterial small subunit ribosomal RNA", at positions 36 to 696 of the family's 1533-position model. The record is from RNAcentral.
CUGGCGGCNGGCUUANNCAUGCAAGUCGAGCGAAGCCUUCGGGCUUAGCGGCGGACGGGUGAGUAACGCGUGGGAACGUGCCCUUCACUACGGAAUAGUCCCUGGAAACGGGGUUUAAUACCGUAUACGCCCUUCGGGGGAAAGAUUUAUCGGUGAAGGAUCGGCCCGCGUCUGAUUAGGUAGUUGGUGGGGUAAUGGCCUACCAAGCCGACGAUCAGUAGCUGGUUUGAGAGGAUGAUCAGCCACACUGGGACUGAGACACGGCCCAGACUCCUACGGGAGGCAGCAGUGAGGAAUCUUGGACAAUGGGGGCAACCCUGAUCCAGCCAUGCCGCGUGAACGAUGAAGGCCUUAGGGUUGUAAAGUUCUUUCACCGGAGAAGAUAAUGACGGUAUCCGGAGAAGAAACCCCGGCUAACUCCGUGCCANCAGCCGCGGUAAUACGGAGGGGGUUAGCGUUGUUCNNAUUACUGGNCGUAAAGCGCACGUAGGCGGACCAUUAAGUCNGGGUGAAAUCCCGGGGCUCAACCCCGGAACUGCCUUUGAUACUGGUGGGUCUGNNNUUNANNAGGNNGUGGAANNCCAGUGUANNGGGAAAGUNCNGGGNNG